AUCAUCAUUCUUAUCUCCUAACUAGCCAUGAGUAACUUAAGGUUUGAUCUAAAGAAAACAAAACGAAAGGAUGUCGACUCAAGGAGAAUGAGGCUUUUGCAGACACGUGUCCACUUUUCUUGAGCGACAAAAAUGUUCUCGACUUCGUUGUAGGCUUCAUUCACGUGCAGUAAUUAAAACUUUUGACACCUCAACAUAUUGGGCUUUGUUUUCUCUGGUCCAUCAAGGGAUCUCCUUCUUCUUUGUGCUGCUUGAAGAAAACUCGAAGACCUUACGAUCUCUCUUCCGCUUCCUCGGCAAAGUAACGUUCCGGCGUUAUGUCAAUCACUGAAGAAAACCCACUAAAGCCACGAUUUCCUCUUCAUUGCAACUUUUUGGAUUGCCUCAGUUUCACUCUAUAUAUCCUUUUGUUCUCUAGCUUCUCCUCUUUACCAAAAUUACAAAAAUCAAAGAAUCUUAGCAAGCUUCUACAGUCCAAGCUGCGAGAUUACCUUACGAACAAUGGUCGCAAAGUUGAUUCCGUACAGUUUUUAAAAAUUGUGUAGGUUCAAAGGUUCAUUCUGCAGAUCAAAUGAUCAUAUGGAUGACGCAGCAUCGAGCACUGAAACUUCACAUGUACUCGCUCCAUCUCUCUCUUCUCUCUGGUCUCAUGGCGAUUAUGAUUCUGUUUUUAUUUAACUCCAAGGUAUUCUUACCUGAUUAAUUUGUUUACAGGAAGCAAAAUACGCUGCUGUAUAGGACUAUAAAUCUUCUUAUAAUCUUAGGCUUCUUAGUUUUUUUAGGGUUUUGGCAGAAAUUCGAAAUUAAUAUGACAAAUAUUGCAGAGAACGUGUUGAGAUUCAUAAAAAGUCGUACGAGGCAGAUGGGACUUUUGGCUCACCAGAUCAUUCUCUUAGCCAACUGCAAAAAGUUAUGGACACUACAACCGACAAUGGAACUAGGGGUCUCAAUAUAUAUAUAUGUGUGUGUACAUCCUUUUGAUAUGGACAUGGCUAGGUUAUAACCAAUAUAUAAGCUUCUGAAGUUGUGCAAAUUUCAGUAGACUCAUCUUUAAUCCAAUUAGUAUUAUAUAGUAAUUUGCUUUCUAUUUUUAGUUUUCUAAGAUACUGUGUGUUUGAUUGCAGGGCAGGGGGUUGGUGUCAAUGCUCAUGUGGAUAAUGAACUGCCCCAGUUUGUUGCUGACAUUGUUGGGAAGACCUUCACUUUUCAGCUCAUGCUAUGAGCGUUCAACUUCACUUCCAAGCAUCAAACCUUCACCAUCUCCCGUUCUUUUACUGAGUGUCAGCAUGCACCACUCCCAGACUUUUUGGCGAUGGAGCUCAACAUGGUCCUGAUGAUCGGAUUCCUGUCCAGAAUCCAAUAGCUUCUAAGGUCUCUGAUGGUACCAGUAGAACUGUUGUUGAGCAGACUGAUGGUGUGGCAGCAACACUUGUGAAAAUACAAAUGUCAACCAUCAAACUUCCUCAUCUGUUGUACCAGAAAGAGGGGGUUCAGCAUCUAACAAUCAGACUGUUGGCUCAAAGAAUGGAAAGAAGGCACGGUUGGAUUAGAUCCAACUAGAAAACACAAAUCACCAUUACAUUUCCUUAUGUUUAUAUGUCGUCAUUUUCGUUUGGUUAUGCACUGUAACUUAGAACUUUAUCUAUUUUUUAACUAAACUCAACAUGGCGGCGGCGGUGUUUAACCUAUCAAUGAAAGUUUUUUCAGUAUACAUGUCUUCCUUUUAGCUCAAAUUAAGUAAACGCAAUAUAUGCAUUGAAGAAAUCAAAUCUCCUGCAUGUUAAAUUGUGUUAAAAAUAAUAUUUAAUUUUAUAUGUUAAAACUAUUUAUCAAAAACUAUUUAUACAGCAAGGAAAUUACGUGACCAAUUUUCUGAACUACUGUCAGGAAUUACCCUCUUCAUUUUUAGAUAUUCCAUCCCUACAUAAACAUCAAAACUCUGCGUUAAACUACCUGCAUCAUAAUAUAUAACAGUCUUUCUGUAAAUAAUCUAACUGGCGUUCAUAUUAGCUUGAACAUAUUUGCUAAUGGGACCAAAUUAAAGCAAGCUUCAGAGGGACAAAACUUCUUUCAGUACACUAAAAUGAAAUACUUCUUAUUGCAAUGAAAUACUUCUUUCAGUACACUAAUUUGUUGACUUUUUGUUAGACUUUUUUUUCUCUGCGAGUUUCUAACUAAAUUGUUCAAAAUGUGCCAAAACAGACUAUGGUGUUAGGCUGCUGUCUUCUAUCUAAUAACCUUGUGUGGGUCAGGAUCCAUGAGUUUGGUUCCAGUGUGUUUAUAGUACACAAAACAUACAUAAGUCUUUUGAAUUACAUUAAAAUAACGUCAGGCCAAUAAAUCAAUAAUUAUUUUAUAAACUUAUUUGCCAAGAGGAUUUCACAAAGGUAGUAUUAGUGUACACUUAAAUAUAAUUAUAUGAUCUUUACUCGGCCAACAUAAUCAUAGAUAAAACUCUUAAGAAGAUUUCAAACACACAAAAGGAACGUUGUUGCUGACCGUUUGGCUAAGCAGGCUCUAAGCUGUGUAUCAAGUCGUUUUACCACGCUACUCUGAUGAUUUAGUGAAGUUGCGUUCCAAAAAAGAAAAAGAUCUCAAACACACAAAAACUGAUAAAAAGUAAUGCAUACCUACGUAUUAUUUUUGGAACAUAAACUUUACUUUAUGUUCUAAGUUCAACUAUAUUUAAUGCAACUAUCAGUUAUUUAUUCUAUUUUUAUUGUAUUAAUCUAUGAAAACUAUUUAUGAUAUUCCUCUUUGACCUAAGCAACUACAAAACAAAGUAAUACACUACUAUCAUUAACCAUAUCAAAUGAAUCAAAACCGAUUUCACAUUCGUUAAAAAAUAAAAUACAUGAACCCGGCGCGUAGCGCCGGAAUACCACUAGUAAUUUAUAAAAAUAAGACUGUAACUACCUGAAGUAUGAAUGUUUGGAUCACCGAUCUCCAAGACUCUCUUCAAGAUAAGUAUUUUAUUUUUAUGCUUUAUUUACAAGGUUAAUUAUAUUAAAACUAGAUUAAAUAAAAUAAUUUGUGUGAAAGUUGGCAAUGAUAUAAACUGUAUUCAGUAAAUUGAUUGAGUGGUUAAGAACCUUGUUAAAUAGCAUAUUAGUAAAAAUAAAAAUUACUGUAUUAAGUAAUUACUAUAUGUAUUAUUUAUUUCUUAGUAAAAUGUUUGUGAUAAUACAUAUCUUUAUAGAACUUGAAAUAAUUUUAUUAUCAUAUUUCAAUACCAUUUUAUAUAUGUGAGUUUUAAGUUUAAGGCUUGACCGUAAAAAAAAUCCACAAGUUUUGGAGAAUCUAUAUAUAUAAAGAAAUGUUUGCAUCUCUCCUGUGAUGCUAUGUCAGAAAUUCGGUUCACAAUGGCACGACACGUGUCUUCCCACACAGUCCGCAGCGUUUCAUUAACGUAAUUAUUCAAUAGAUGCAGGCUUUGUUUUGGAUUUGGACCUUAUGUUUUGCUGAAGGAACCAGCCCAAUAUAGAAUGCAAACAUAAGCGUCUCAGACGUGAUGUUAGGGUUCUUCCAAUUUUUUUUCUCGGCUGUUCCAGAGCGUAUGUUGAUUUGAAGAAUCUCAACGUAGGGUUUCGAAUGCGUCGUUUCAUCUUCUUUUCACAAUCCGAAACGCUCCCAGUUACUGAUUCAUCGCCUUAAUCCUCUUCUUAACUCUAUCAACCACGAUCUAGCCUUCAAAUGCGAGGUUCUCUUAUGCAAGGCGGUCUAUCUGCGACUAUAAAAAGUCAACUCUCAUACAAGCCACUGUGUACAGGGGGUUUAAUGUAUUCCAUAAGCGAUUUUGAUGUGACUCAGAGCAAUCUAAAGUCUCUCCUCUAUCAAUUUGACUGAAUCGUGCGUCUCCACCGUCAAAGUGCGUCUCAUCAGAUUCUGGGAGGCUCUCCCUCUCUCUUUGUUUUUUUUAGGAUGGUUAUGAUAGACAGAUGGUUUUUUUGAACUGUCAACUCUAUGUCUUUUCCUUCCUUGGUUUGUAAUAUGCUGAUGAGAACUCCUCCUUCUAUCAUAGGCUUACUAAAAUCUUGGGUUUGAUCUA
RNA transcript from Brassica rapa (field mustard), 4048 nucleotides. RefSeq lists it as uncharacterized. The record is from RefSeq and is a predicted model, not a curated record. Lineage: Eukaryota; Viridiplantae; Streptophyta; Magnoliopsida; Brassicales; Brassicaceae.